AAACAGUUCAGUGUUUGGACCUAAUCCUGAACCAUGUUGAUUUUUUAGGUUGUGUUUUCCUUCUCGAAAGAUUGCAGACUACCCAUUUUCUCCGGGGUUAGUGGAGGUGACAAGAAGGCCUACAAAGGACUGUGGGCUACUGUGAUAUGACGGCCACCAAAACUCUUCCUGGAAUCAAAGGGAAAUUUACUUGAGGGAAAACAUGAAAGCAAGUUCCAAGGCUUGGCUGCAAGGAGGACAUUAAGGAUGGACUCCCAAGGCAUGGCUGCAAUGGUUGUUUGGAACAAGAAACAGAUACCCUCUUGCUGUCAUUCAUCUCUGAUUGGGAAUCUGAGCUUGAAGGAAGCUGUAUAUUUGUGGUCACCUGAUGGCAAUGAAUGCAAAGACCCUGUGCAGCAGCAGUGCCUCUCACAGGGAAUACCAGGAGGGAAACUGGAAGUAAUCAAAGCACGCAGAAUUUGCUCUUCUUGGUGGAGGUCUCAUGCAGGCAGCACUUGA
RNAcentral lists this long non-coding RNA (498 nucleotides) under Serinus canaria (Common canary). Its description in RNAcentral is "lncRNA (ENSSCAG00000013003.1)". Lineage: Eukaryota; Metazoa; Chordata; Aves; Passeriformes; Fringillidae. The record is from RNAcentral.